This 449-nucleotide ribosomal RNA is filed under the name uncultured prokaryote. RNAcentral describes it as "bacterial SSU rRNA". It matches the Rfam family "Bacterial small subunit ribosomal RNA", at positions 355 to 796 of the family's 1533-position model. The record is from RNAcentral.
UGGGGAAUAUUGGACAAUGGGCGCAAGCCUGAUCCAGCAAUGCCGCGUGGGUGAAGAAGGCCUUCGGGUUGUAAAGCCCUUUCAGCAGGGAAGAAAAGCUUCAGGCGAAUAGCCUGGGGUGCUGACGGUACCUGCAGAAGAAGCACCGGCUAACUCCGUGCCAGCAGCCGCGGUAAUACGGAGGGUGCGAGCGUUAAUCGGAAUUACUGGGCGUAAAGGGCGCGUAGGCGGCUGUGUAAGUCGGGUGUGAAAGCCCCGGGCUCAACCUGGGAAUUGCAUUCGAUACUGCAUGGCUGGAGUGUGGUAGAGGGAAGCGGAAUUCCGGGUGUAGCGGUGAAAUGCGUAGAUAUCCGGAGGAACAUCAGUGGCGAAGGCGGCUUCCUGGACCAACACUGACGCUGAGGCGCGAAAGCGUGGGGAGCAAACAGGAUUAGAUACCCGUGUAGUCC